RNAcentral lists this long non-coding RNA (427 nucleotides) under Phoenix dactylifera (date palm). RNAcentral's name for it is "long non-coding RNA (PDAC_LNC004306)". Lineage: Eukaryota; Viridiplantae; Streptophyta; Magnoliopsida; Arecales; Arecaceae. The record is from RNAcentral.
GAUCAUCACCAAGCAAUAUGCUUAAAAUCCCUACCACCAUACAGAAAACACAACUGAAGGAUGAAGCUUGCCAUUCUAGCAUCUAUUUUUCUCUGGAACAACACCCUUGCCCAAAGUGUAAAUCCUCCAUAACAAUCUACAACAUGAUGGAAAUUAUUUGUGCCACAGAAUAGUAGAAGAUUAAUGCAGUUACCAUUUAUUGCCAUUUAAUCUGAUAUCCAUCAGAUGGUCUCACAAAUUAAAAAUCAAGAAUAGAAAAUCAAUCCAUUUACACAAGUUACAGGUACUAGCUAUGAAUAUACCUUGAUAUCUUCUGGCGUCUGCAUAGGUGACAGAUAUGAGCUUAGCAUAUAUCACUAUGAGAUGAAAGUGAAUAGGCUCUGCCUAAUCUGUUUCUCAAAAACAAGAGAGAUAUUAUGAGACAAAU